UGGGCCCGCGCCUGAUUAGCUAGUUGGUGGGGUAGAAGCCUACCAAAGCGAUGAUACGUAGCCGACCUGAGAGGGUAAUCGGCCACAUUGGGACUGAGACACGGCCCAAACUCCUACGGGAGGCAGCAGUAGGGAAUCUUCCACAAUGGACGAAAGUCUGAUGGAGCAACGCCGCGUGAGUGAAGAAGGUUUUCGGAUCGUAAAACUCUGUUGUCAGAGAAGAACGUGUGCGAGAGUAACUGCUCGUGCAGUGACGGUAUCUGGCCAGAAAGCCACGGCUAACUACGUGCCAGCAGCCGCGGUAAUACGUAGGUGGCAAGCGUUGUCCGGAUUUAUUGGGCGUAAAGGGAACGCAGGCGGUCUUUUAAGUCUGAUGUGAAAGCCUUCGGCUUAACCGAAGUCGUGCAUUGGAAACUGGGAGACUUGAGUGCAGAAGAGGAGAGUGGAACUCCAUGUGUAGCGGUGAAAUGCGUAGAUAUAUGGAAGAACACCAGUGGCGAAAGCGGCUCUCUGGUCUGUAACUGACGCUGAGGUUCGAAAGCGUGGGUAGCAAACAGGAUUAGAUACCCUGGUAGUCCACGCUGUAAACGAUGAAUGCUAAGUGUUGGAGGGUUUCCGCCCUUCAGUGCCGCAGCAAACGCAUUAAGCAUUCCGCCUGGGGAGUACGACCGCAAGGUUGAAACUCAAAGGAAUUGAC
This 697-nucleotide ribosomal RNA is filed under the name uncultured bacterium. RNAcentral describes it as "bacterial SSU rRNA". It matches the Rfam family "Bacterial small subunit ribosomal RNA", at positions 226 to 914 of the family's 1533-position model. The record is from RNAcentral.